This is a long non-coding RNA of Sorghum bicolor (sorghum), 350 nucleotides long. RefSeq lists it as uncharacterized. The transcript has 3 exons. NCBI's taxonomy places the organism in Eukaryota, Viridiplantae, Streptophyta, Magnoliopsida, Poales, Poaceae. The record is from RefSeq and is a predicted model, not a curated record.
CCCGACGGUCUCUCCUCUCCCGAGCUCGCUCCUCACCGCGCCGCCGCCGUCCUUCUCCCCAGCACCGGCACCGCCAUGGAAUAGCGCAACUUGGCGUUGGCGGUGGCCUCCGUAAGCCUUCCUCUGUUGCCGCCGCCUCCCACCAGUCUAUGUGGCCUCAAUGAAACCCUAGCGUCGCGAGGCAACUCUGGCGGCGCAACCCUCUGGCCUCUUCCUCAUCAGCGGCAACGGCGACGGUGAUGCUCAACGGCUGGAUCUACCGAAGCCUGCGUCGGCAGCGGUAGCUCCAUCUGCUUGCUUCCUGCUCAGAAGGCUGGAUCAUCAUCCUAUCAAUUGUCAUGUUCUUCAAG